Podarcis raffonei (Aeolian wall lizard) is the source of this 828-nucleotide long non-coding RNA. RefSeq lists it as uncharacterized. NCBI's taxonomy places the organism in Eukaryota, Metazoa, Chordata, Lepidosauria, Squamata, Lacertidae. The record is from RefSeq and is a predicted model, not a curated record. The transcript is spliced from 3 exons.
CGCUUAUUGCGGAAUCCGGACGGAAGCUGACCAAACCUACCAUCAGAGCCCGGCUGGUCCAGGGGAACCUCCUUCUUGGCAACAAUGUUGACCGCUAAGGUAGUCUAGGCUGAGACAAUUGUGACUUGCCCAAGGCCACCCAACAAGCUUCUCGGCUCAACAGGAAUUUGAACCCAGGUCUUGCGCACCCAGAGCCAGCACUCCCCCAAACUGGCCUAUUUGCCAUCUGCUGAAGAGAGAACCAAGACUCGUACCUCUUCGAAGCGCCCUCUGGACUCUUCAGCACCAGGAAAGCCCCCUCCAAUGUCCAGGAGGUGCAUCUUGUAGCCUAGUUCUGCACCCAUUUCAAAGACCAGGCGAGCGUCUGCUAUGGACUGAGUGAAGAGCUGGGGGUCGGCACAGCUGCUUCCAAUGUGGAAGCUGGAAAGGAAGGCAAGUGGGCUGUGAGCACAAGGAAACCCGCAGCCUACCUGAUGCCAACCACCUCGACAUUCAUCUCCUUUGCAGUCUCAAGCAGGUGACGGCAGACUUUAAGUGUGGCGCCGUAUUUCAUGCUCAUGCAGGUGGAGGACCUGGAGUCGUCGGUAGCCAAGCACAGAAUCAUUCUGUGGAACAAGGUGGGUGGGUGGGGAGAGCAAACUCAAUGACUGUGACAAUUGUGGUAUAUUGCUUAUUCUGAGCCAACACCAUGCCAGACACAGUACAGACUCAUCUUUUGCAUCUCUUGCAAAGUCGCUUUCCAGGAGAUGCUUGUGAUAACCCAGCACCUGCCUCCCCUCCAAUUCUGCACCAAGGGCAAAUUAUUUUUAAAAUAUCCCAUUUUUUAUA